UUCAGAAUCUGAGCUUGUGUUGGUCUUUGAAUGAUGAAGGUAAUGGAGUUUGAGUUACUGGGUUUUUAGUGUUUUGGUGUUUGAUGCUUUGGUUCUUGGGGAAGUGAAGGUUUAGUGCUUUGCUUUGGUUCUCAAGAUUUCACACCGCUCAUUUUGGAUCCUUCUCAGCAACAUGUAGAUCCAUUACCUCUGACUAUACAUGCGAUAAUACCAGCUGCAAGAGGGCUUUUCAUAGCAUAUGUCUCGUGGACUGGUUGCGUUCCAUUACCACAACAAGGCAGUCAUUUGAUGUUUUAUUUGGAAGUUGUCCAUACUAUUUAGAACCAGUUGCAGUGAAAAUCAAUAGUGUGAAGAAGUAAACUAGGUCUUCCAGACCUGCUAAUCAAGGAUCUUGUGAUGUGCUCCUUUCCUGCUUAAAGUCUAGAGACAAGCAGACCAGUAGACCAUAAACCAUUGGGUUGAAGUUGAACCAUUGUGUAAUGGAGCCAACCACAUUUUCCCCGAGGUACAUUGGCAAAAGGAGAACCUGCUGCUGUGAUGUCCCAUUACGGGUUUAGAGAGCACCAAAGAUUGCUGCGGAAACUUGGUUGCGGCGAGAGAUCAAAGAGCUUUUGAAAAAGGCAAGCUCCUUAUCACAAGAUGGUUAAAACAUCAUCACAACUUGGGACGAAAACAGCAAAGCUGAAGACCAGAAAGGCUGAAGAAGCGAAACAGAAUAAGAUAGAUAAGAUCUACAACUGAUACAAAGAUUCAUCUGUGAUGAAUGAUAGUAAUGGCUUCUCUGGUGCAAAGUUGGAAGAUCUUCAAGAAUUUUUAGACAAUAUGAACUAUCCAUAUGAUUUCUUCAGUCUUGCAGCGCACCCAAUUCGCACCUUUUUGUGGUAGAUGAAGUGACUACAGCAAUUGUGAAUAAAACUGCAAUAGUAAUUGCUAGGCUAGCCUUGUAGUAGGUUAAUUGGGGUUUUAUUUUACCUAUUUUGUGAACCGUCAAGGAUAAUGAUUUUGGACAUAAUACUCCAAUAUUCAAAUUACUUUC
Long non-coding RNA from Rosa rugosa (rugosa rose), 1036 nucleotides. RefSeq lists it as uncharacterized. The record is from RefSeq and is a predicted model, not a curated record. Lineage: Eukaryota; Viridiplantae; Streptophyta; Magnoliopsida; Rosales; Rosaceae. The transcript has 6 exons.